UACGGGGGGGGCAAGCGUUGUUCGGAAUUACUGGGCGUAAAGGGCUCGUAGGCGGCCAACUAAGUCAGACGUGAAAUCCCUCGGCUUAACCGGGGAACUGCAUCUGAUACUGGAUGGCUUGAGUUUGGGAGAGGGAUGCGGAAUUCCAGGUGUAGCGGUGAAAUGCGUAGAUAUCUGAAGGAACACCAGUGGCGAAAGCGGCUUCCUGGUCCAGUACCGACGUUCAGGCACGAAAGCGUGGGGAGCAAACAGG
This 253-nucleotide ribosomal RNA is filed under the name uncultured bacterium. Its description in RNAcentral is "partial 16S ribosomal RNA". It matches the Rfam family "Bacterial small subunit ribosomal RNA", at positions 524 to 776 of the family's 1533-position model. The record is from RNAcentral.